Long non-coding RNA from Leopardus geoffroyi (Geoffroy's cat), 1535 nucleotides. RefSeq lists it as uncharacterized. The record is from RefSeq and is a predicted model, not a curated record. The transcript has 2 exons. NCBI's taxonomy places the organism in Eukaryota, Metazoa, Chordata, Mammalia, Carnivora, Felidae.
CCCCCAGCGAUGCCCUGCCACGGAGGGACCCCCAGCGAUGUCCUGCCACGGAGGGACCCCCAGCGAUGUCCUGCCACGGAGGGACCCCCAGCGAUGCCCUGUCAUAGAGGGACCCCCAGUGAUGCCCUACCACGGAGGGACCCCCAGCGAUGCCCUGUCAUAGAGGGACUCCCAGCGAUGUCCUGCCACGGAGGGACCCCCAGCGAUGCCCUGUCAUAGAGGGACCCCCAGUGAUGCCCUGUCAUAGAGGGACUCCCAGCGAUGUCCUGCCACAGAGGGACCCCCGGCGAUGCCCUGUCAUAGAGGGACCCCCAGUGAUGCCCUACCAUGGAGGGACCCCCAGCGAUGUCCUGCCACGGAGGGACCCCCAGCGAUGCCCUGUCAUAGAGGGACCCCCAGCGAUGUCCUGCCACGGAGGGACCCCCGGCGAUGCCCUGUCAUAGAGGGACCCCCAGUGAUGCCCUACCACGGAGGGACCCCCAGCGAUGCCCUGUCAUAGAGGGACCCCCAGUGAUGUCCUACCAUGGAGGGACCCCCGGCGAUGCCCUGUCAUAGAGGGACUCCCAGCGAUGUCCUGCCACGGAGGGACCCCCGGCGAUGCCCUGUCAUAGAGGGACCCCCAGCGAUGUCCUGCCACGGAGGGACCCCCAGCGAUGCCCUGUCAUAGAGGGACUCCCAGCGAUGUCCUGCCACGGAGGGACCCCCAGCGAUGCCCUGUCAUAGAGGGACCCCCAGUGAUGCCCUACCAUGGAGGGACCCCCAGCGAUGUCCUGCCACGGAGGGACCCCCAGCGAUGCCCUGUCAUAGAGGGACCCCCAGUGAUGUCCUGCCACGGAGGGACCCCCGGCGAUGCCCUGUCAUAGAGGGACCCCCAGUGAUGCCCUACCACGGAGGGACCCCCAGCGAUGCCCUGUCAUAGAGGGACCCCCAGUGAUGUCCUGCCACGGAGGGACCCCCAGCGAUGCCCUGUCAUAGAGGGACCCCCAGCGAUGUCCUGCCACGGAGGGACCCCCAGCGAUGCCCUGUCAUCUCCAGAGCGAAGCCACCAGAAAGGAACGAGAGCUGUUAUUGCAAAGUCCUAAUUAGAAACACGGGUGGAUCUUGGGUGAAUAUUUCCCGUAAUUGUACACGCAGGUCAUGUGGACUUGGGACCAUUAUUUCUUUGCCAGCUUCCUGAGAAGAGAGUGUCACCAUCAGAGCGAAUCUGACAAAUAAGCCAGAGGGCUGGAGGAGGACAAGUCCGCAGAGGGAUUCGAGCAUUCUGGCUGGCGCGUGGCGAGCACUGAACUCGGCUCGUGGACUGAACAGACCUCCCCCGGCCUGCGUGGCAUGGUCAGCAAGGCAUCUGUGCUUUUGAGAGUGUCUUUCCCAAACCAUCUAUCGGAAGACAAACAGCAAAUAAAUGGUCACAGUUCCCACUAGGACCCUCUCUGCACAGGAAUAAGGAAUCCCAGGGGGAUAGCUUCUGUUUGUUGCCCCCGGAGCGUACGCGCGAGUCAAGGAAUUAAAAACCACAUGUGGGCUUUGCCGGCCGG